This 253-nucleotide ribosomal RNA is filed under the name uncultured bacterium. RNAcentral's name for it is "partial 16S ribosomal RNA". It matches the Rfam family "Bacterial small subunit ribosomal RNA", at positions 524 to 776 of the family's 1533-position model. The record is from RNAcentral.
UACAGAGGGUGCAAGCGUUAUUCGGAAUUACUGGGCGUAAAGCGUGCGUAGACGGUUAUGUAAGUCAGGUGUGAAAGCCCAGGGCUCAACCUUGGAAUUGCAUUUGAGACUGCAUAGCUAGGGUGCGGAAGAGGGAAGCGGAAUUUCCGGUGUAGCGGUGAAAUGCGUAGAUAUCGGAAGGAACACCAGUGGCGAAAGCGGCUUCCUGGUCCAGCACCGACGUUCAGGCACGAAAGCGUGGGGAGCAAACAGG